RNAcentral lists this ribosomal RNA (443 nucleotides) under uncultured bacterium. RNAcentral describes it as "partial 16S ribosomal RNA". It matches the Rfam family "Bacterial small subunit ribosomal RNA", at positions 338 to 795 of the family's 1533-position model. The record is from RNAcentral.
CCUACGGGCGGCAGCAGUAGGGAAUAUUGGGCAAUGGGCGCAAGCCUGACCCAGCAACGCCGCGUGAAGGAAGAAGGCUUUCGGGUUGUAAACUUCUUUUCUCAGGGACGAAGCAAGUGACGGUACCUGAGGAAUAAGCCACGGCUAACUACGUGCCAGCAGCCGCGGUAAUACGUAGGUGGCAAGCGUUAUCCGGAUUUACUGGGUGUAAAGGGCGGGUAGGCGGGAAAGCAAGUCCGAUGUGAAAACCCUGGGCUCAAACUGUGGCCAGCUUUUGAAACUGUUUUUCUUGAGUACUGGAGAGGCAGACGGAAUUCCUAGUGUAGCGGUGAAAUGCGUAGAUAUUAGGAGGAACACCAGUGGCGAAGGCGGUCUGCUGGACAGCAACUGACGCUGAGGCGCGAAAGCGUGGGGAGCAAACAGGAUUAGAUACCCCAGUAGUC